AGUGAACGCUGGCGGUAGGCCUAACACAUGCAAGUCGAACGGCAGCACAGUAAGAGCUUGCUCUUACGGGUGGCGAGUGGCGGACGGGUGAGGAAUACAUCGGAAUCUACUUUUUCGUGGGGGAUAACGUAGGGAAACUUACGCUAAUACCGCAUACGACCUACGGGUGAAAGCAGGGGAUCUUCGGACCUUGCGCGAUUGAAUGAGCCGAUGUCGGAUUAGCUAGUUGGCGGGGUAAAGGCCCACCAAGGCGACGAUCCGUAGCUGGUCUGAGAGGAUGAUCAGCCACACUGGAACUGAGACACGGGCCAGACUACUACGGGAGGCAGCAGUGGGGAAUAGUGGACAAUGGGCGCAAGCCUGAUCCAGCCAUACCGCGUGGGUGAAGAAGGCCUUCGGGUUGUAAAGCCAUGUUGUUGGGAAAGAAAAGCAGCAGGGGAAUACCCCGCGGUUCUGACGGUACCCAAAGAAUAAGCAACGGCUAACUUCGUG
Molecule: ribosomal RNA, 492 nt
Filed under: uncultured bacterium
Lineage: Bacteria
Description: partial 16S ribosomal RNA
Rfam family: Bacterial small subunit ribosomal RNA
Source: RNAcentral